RNAcentral lists this ribosomal RNA (1357 nucleotides) under Luehdorfia puziloi. Its description in RNAcentral is "16S ribosomal RNA". Lineage: Eukaryota; Metazoa; Arthropoda; Insecta; Lepidoptera; Papilionidae. The record is from RNAcentral.
GGGGGCAAAUUAAUAAUAAAUAAUUAAUAAAAAAAAUUUUAAUAUAAAAAUAUUUAAUGGGGGUUAAAGUAUUUUUAAUAGAAAAAAUUUUUAAAUUUAUAGUGUAAUAGUAUUGUAGAAGAAAUUUGAAAUAUAAUGAAAAAAAAAAUUUUUAAAAAGUAAAUUUUAUUUGUUGUAUCUUGUGUAUCAGAGUUUAUUAAUAAAAAUAUUUAUUUAAAAGUUUCUCGAAUUUAAAAGAGUUAAUUAGUUAUUAAAGUUAAUAUUGUAUAAUUAUUUUAAAUAAUUAAUUAGAAAUGAAAUGUUAAUCGUUUUUAAAUAUAUCUAGUUUUUUUAGAAAAAAAUUUAAUUUUAAAUAAUAAUAAAGUAAUUUUUAUUUUUAUAAAAAUUACAGAUUAUUGUUAAAUAUUUUAAGGGAUAAGCUUUAAAAUAAAUUUUUAUAAAUAUAAGUUUUUUUUUAAAAUAAAAUUUUAGAAUUUUUAUUGUUAAUAAAUUAUAAUUUUUUAUAAAUAAUUUAUUGAUUUAAUAAUUAAAAUUUAAUUAGAUUUUAAUUUUUUAUAAAAAAAUUAUUUUUAAUUUUGAAAAUUUAGAUAUAAUGAUAAAAUUAGUAUAUAAUUUAAUUUUAUUAUAAAUAUAAAUAUUAUGAUAAUUUUAAUAAAGGAAUUCGGCAAAUAUUUAUAUUCACUUGUUUAUCAAAAACAUGUCUUUUUGUUUAUAAUUUAAAGUCUAAUCUGCCCACUGAUAAAUAUAUUGAAGGGCUGCAGUAUUUUGACUGUACAAAGGUAGCAUAAUCAUUAGUCUCUUAAUUGGUGACUUGUAUGAAGGAUUUAAUGAAAUAUAAACUGUCUCUUUUAAAUUUAUAGAAUUUAAUUUUUUAGUCAAAAAGCUAAAAUUUAUUUAAAAGACGAGAAGACCCUAUAGAGUUUUAUAUUUAUAUUAAUUUUAAUUUUAUAUAAAAAUUUACUGUAUAUUAAAAUUAAUUAAAAUAUUUUAUUGGGGUGAUAGAAAAAUUAAAUAAACUUUUUUUUUAAAAAAAAAUUAACAUUGAUUUAUGAUUAAAUGAUCCGUAAAUUACGAUUAUAAGAAAAAAUUACCUUAGGGAUAACAGCGUAAUUUUUUUUUUUAGUUCAUAUAAAAAAAAAAGUUUGCGACCUCGAUGUUGGAUUAAGAUAAAAUUUAAAUGCAAAAGUUUAAAAUUUUGAUCUGUUCGAUCAUUAAAAUCUUACAUGAUCUGAGUUCAAACCGGUGUAAGCCAGGUUGGUUUCUAUCUUUAAUUUAAUUAAAUAUUUUAGUACGAAAGGAAUAAAUAUUUAAAAUAAUUUUGUUAAAAAGAAUUUUAUUAAUUUAUUAUGUAGAUAAG